GAUGAACGCUGGCGGCGUGCCUAAUACAUGCAAGUCGAGCGAACAGACGAGGAGCUUGCUCCUCUGACGUUAGCGGCGGACGGGUGAGUAACACGUGGAUAACCUACCUAUAAGACUGGGAUAACUUCGGGAAACCGGAGCUAAUACCGGAUAAUAUAUUGAACCGCAUGGUUCAAUAGUGAAAGACGGUUUUGCUGUCACUUAUAGAUGGAUCCGCGCCGCAUUAGCUAGUUGGUAAGGUAACGGCUUACCAAGGCAACGAUGCGUAGCCGACCUGAGAGGGUGAUCGGCCACACUGGGACUGAGACACGGUCCAGACUCCUACGGGAGGCAGCAGUAGGGAAUCUGCCGCAAUGGGCGAAAGCCUGACGGAGCAACGCCGCGUGAGUGAUGAAGGUCUUCGGAUCGUAAAACUCUGUUAUUAGGGAAGAACAAAUGUGUAAGUAACUAUGCACGUCUUGACGGUACCUAAUCAGAAAGCCACGGCUAACUACGUG
Molecule: ribosomal RNA, 497 nt
Filed under: uncultured bacterium
Lineage: Bacteria
Description: partial 16S ribosomal RNA
Rfam family: Bacterial small subunit ribosomal RNA
Source: RNAcentral